This 103-nucleotide ribosomal RNA is filed under the name uncultured bacterium. RNAcentral describes it as "partial 16S ribosomal RNA". It matches the Rfam family "Bacterial small subunit ribosomal RNA", at positions 1379 to 1482 of the family's 1533-position model. The record is from RNAcentral.
CCUUGUACACACCGCCCGUCGCACCNCGAAAGUGGGCAACACCCGAAGCCGGUGAUCCAACCUCUGGAGGAAGCCGUCGAAGGUGGGCUCAUGAGUUGGGGUG